GGACGGCGCUAGACAUGCAGUCGAACGGUAACAGGAAGCAGCUUGCUGCUUUGCUGACGAGUGGCGGACGGGUGAGUAAUGUCUGGGAAACUGCCCGAUGGAGGGGGAUAACUACUGGAAACGGUAGCUAAUACCGCAUAACGUCGCAAGACCAAAGAGGGGGACCUUCGGGCCUCUUGCCAUCGGAUGUGCCCAGAUGGGAUUAGCUAGUAGGUGGGGUAACGGCUCACCUAGGCGACGAUCCCUAGCUGGUCUGAGAGGAUGACCAGCCACACUGGAACUGAGACACGGUCCAGACUCCUACGGGAGGCAGCAGUGGGGAAUAUUGCACAAUGGGCGCAAGCCUGAUGCAGCCAUGCCGCGUGUAUGAAGAAGGCCUUCGGGUUGUAAAGUACUUUCAGCGGGGAGGAAGGGAGUAAAGUUAAUACCUUUGCUCAUUGACGUUACCCGCAGAAGAAGCACCGGCUAACUCCGUGCCAGCAGCCGCGGUAAUACGGAGGGUGCAAGCGUUAAUCGGAAUUACUGGGCGUAAAGCGCACGCAGGCGGUUUGUUAAGUCAGAUGUGAAAUCCCCGGGCUCAACCUGGGAACUGCAUCUGAU
This 600-nucleotide ribosomal RNA is filed under the name Escherichia coli. Its description in RNAcentral is "bacterial SSU rRNA". It matches the Rfam family "Bacterial small subunit ribosomal RNA", at positions 41 to 631 of the family's 1533-position model. The record is from RNAcentral. Lineage: Bacteria; Pseudomonadati; Pseudomonadota; Gammaproteobacteria; Enterobacterales; Enterobacteriaceae.